UUAACGUUAACAGAAGUAAUGUUACCUGGUGUAGCAGGUAGACCUUCUCUGCCUGCUAUUUCCCCAUAGCACCUGGAAGUGCUAAUGAAGGGGGGGGGGGCAUAGGCAUUUGAUCAAUCUGGCACCAGUGGAGUGCUACUUAAGAGGGGCAGCAGCCAGUAGCAAUAUAGACUCCACUGGUGUAGCCCC
Alosa sapidissima (American shad) is the source of this 189-nucleotide long non-coding RNA. RefSeq lists it as uncharacterized. The record is from RefSeq and is a predicted model, not a curated record. The transcript has 4 exons. Lineage: Eukaryota; Metazoa; Chordata; Actinopteri; Clupeiformes; Clupeidae.